GAGAUUAUAAAUAUUUUUGGUUUAGUAGUUAAAUUAUUAUUGAUAACUUUUGAAUUUAAUAUUUUUAGGUGAAAUUUUAAUUUUAUUUCAACUGGUUUAUUUUGAAGCUAUGAAAUUUAUUUUUUAAACAAGGAUUAGAUACCCUUUUAUUUUAAAUGUAAAUAUAAACUGGGGUAGUAUUAGUUAUGUUCUUGAAACCCAAAGAAUUUGGCGGUAUUUUAUUCCUUUUAGAGGAACCUGUUCCGUGAUUGAUAAUCCACGAUGGUAAAUUACUUAUUUUUGUUAUCAGUUUGUAUACCUCCGUCAUCAGAAUAUCUUUUUAGAGUUUAAUAUUCUUAUUAUAUCAAUUAUAAUAUGUCAGGUCAAGGUGCAAUUUAUGGAUAAGUGGAAAUGGGUUACAAUAAAUUUAUUUAUACGAAUUUAGUUUAUUAUAAAAUUAAUGAAGGUGGAUUUAAUAGUAAAAUUAAUGUCUUUUUAUUUUGAUUUUGGCUCUAAUAUAUGCACACAUCGCCCGUCGCUCUUAUUUUAAAAUAAGAUAAGUCGUAACAUAGUAGGAGUACCGGAAGGUGUUCCUAGAAAGUAACAAAUUAGAGCUUGAUAGAAAGCAUUUCAUUUACKCU
RNAcentral lists this ribosomal RNA (620 nucleotides) under Perithemis lais. RNAcentral describes it as "partial 12S ribosomal RNA". The record is from RNAcentral. Lineage: Eukaryota; Metazoa; Arthropoda; Insecta; Odonata; Libellulidae.